Molecule: transfer RNA, 69 nt
Filed under: Pygathrix nigripes (Black-shanked douc langur)
Lineage: Eukaryota; Metazoa; Chordata; Mammalia; Primates; Cercopithecidae
Description: tRNA-His
Rfam family: tRNA
About the family: Transfer RNA (tRNA) molecules are approximately 80 nucleotides in length.
Source: RNAcentral
GUAAAUAUAGUUUAAUUAAAACAUUAGAUUGUGAAUCUAAAUAUAGAAAUCUACCACUUCUUAUUUACC